UCGAAGACAGAACCCUAUCAUGAACGAAGUCGCCAUUUUCACGUUUUGAACCAAAACUGGAGUCGCCCUCUCUCAGUCUCUUUCUCUCAGAGACUCAGAGUCUCAGUCUCUCCCUUUCUCUGCGGUCCGGCUGCACGAUUCUCAGGCUCUCAGCGGCUCAACCUCUCUCCGACUGUCGGAGUCGCCGGUGACAACGAAUUUCUGUCAUCACUCAUUCACUCUUGGUUUGCUUCUUCGACUCCUCCUCAAGCUGUCUAGCCACUCCUCAAGCAGCAAACUUUGGGCUUUCUGGGUUCGAUUUCUGGGUUCAAGGCUUCAAGGAGUUCAAGCUCGG
Rosa chinensis is the source of this 334-nucleotide long non-coding RNA. RefSeq lists it as uncharacterized. NCBI's taxonomy places the organism in Eukaryota, Viridiplantae, Streptophyta, Magnoliopsida, Rosales, Rosaceae. The record is from RefSeq and is a predicted model, not a curated record. The transcript is spliced from 3 exons.